RNAcentral lists this ribosomal RNA (700 nucleotides) under uncultured bacterium. Its description in RNAcentral is "bacterial SSU rRNA". It matches the Rfam family "Bacterial small subunit ribosomal RNA", at positions 54 to 727 of the family's 1533-position model. The record is from RNAcentral.
CAUGCAGUCGAGCGGCAGCGAGUUUCUCACUGUUUGCUUCUCUUCUUUCGGUAUUUACGAAGGAAGUUUAGAGGAGUGAAGAGUGAGAAAUGUCGGCGAGCGGCGGACGGCUGAGUAACGCGUAGGAAUGUGCCCCAAAGUGAGGAAUAACUGCCCGAAAGGGUAGCUAAUGCCGCAUAUGAUCUUCGGAUUAAAGGAUUUAUCCGCUUUGGGAGCAGCCUGCGUCGGAUUAGGUAGUUGGUAGGGUAAUGGCCUACCAAGCCUACGAUCCGUAGCUGGUCUGAGAGGAUGACCAGCCAGACUGGAACUGAGACACGGUCCAGACUCCUACGGGAGGCAGCAGUGAGGAAUCUUCCACAAUGGGCGAAAGCCUGAUGGGGCAACGCCGCGUGCAGGAUGAAGGCCUUCGGGUUGUAAACUGCUUUUAUAAGUGAGGAAUAUGACGGUAACUUAUGAAUAAGGAUCGGCUAACUACGUGCCAGCAGCCGCGGUCAUACGUAGGAUCCGAGCGUUAUCCGGAGUGACUGGGCGUAAAGAGUUGCGUAGGUGGUUUAUUAAGCGAAUAGUGAAAUCUGGUGGCUCAACCAUACAGGCUAUUAUUCGAACUGACAAACUCGAGAGUGGUAGAGGUUACUGGAAUUUCUAGUGUAGGAGUGAAAUCCGUAGAUAUUAGAAGGAACACCAAUGGCGUAGGCAGGUA